Molecule: long non-coding RNA, 8993 nt
Filed under: Homo sapiens (human)
Lineage: Eukaryota; Metazoa; Chordata; Mammalia; Primates; Hominidae
Description: non-protein coding lnc-SNRPN-8:123
Source: RNAcentral
GUAGUGUUGGUGUAAAAGGCAAACCCGUGUCAUGAGGGAUGGUCAUCAUCUUGUGUGAUCCUUGGAGAUGGCAGGAAGCCCUGGACAUACAUGGUGUGGGGGCUCCUCCAGAGGCUGUUGGGAUCCUCCUGGAUGUGGUGUGGGCAUGGAAGGAAGGCCAGUGGAGACAAUGGAUGAUCUUGUUCUUAGCAGAUCACUGGAUGUGGCAGGGAGUCCUAGGACAUGUGUGGUGUGGGCUUCUUCAGGUGCUGGUGGUGUUGGCAUGAGGAAAGGAGGUAUCUUCGAGGGACAAUCUUCUUCUUGUGCGAUCCUUGGAGAUGCCAUGAGGCCCCUGGACACAUGUGGUGUGGGCUCCUUUGGAGGCUGUUGUAUCCCUUCUGAAUGUGGCGUGGGCAUAGAAGGAAGGCCAGUGGCCACGAGGGACAAUCUUGGUCUUGGGAGAUCCUGGAAAUGAUAGGGAGUCCCUUGAUAUGUGUGGCAUGGGCUCCUUCAGGUGCUAGUGGAUUCCUUAGGAUGGUGGUGUUGGCAUGAAAGGCAGGCUUGUAUCAUGAGGAAUGAUUGUCAUCUUGUCUGAUUCUUGGAGAUGGCAGGAAGCCCCUGGAAACACAUGGUGUGGACUCUUUCACAGGCUGUUGAAACCCUCCUGAAUGUGAGGCCAGAGACAGGCAGACAGCAGAUGUAUUGCAGGGAGCUGGAUGACAUGGCCCUUGGAACCUGUGCACAUGCCUGCCUUUCUGAUGCACGUCCAUGUUUUCUCUGCACCUCCCCGGUGGUGUUGGUAUAAAAAGCAGGCUUACAUCAGCAAGGGAUGAUUGUCGUCUCAUGCGAUCCUGGGAGAUGGCAGAAGUCCCGGGACACAUGGAGUGUGGGCUCUUUCGGAGGCUGUUGGAUCCCUCCUGAAUGUGUUGUGGCCAUGGAAGUAAGGCCAGUGGCUACGAGGGACAGUCUUCAUCUUGGGAGAUCCCUAGAGAGGGCAGGGAGCCCCUUGACAUGUGGAAUGUGAUCUCUGUUGGGUGCUGGUGGAUCCCACAGGUGGUCUGGCAUGGAAGAAGGCCAGAGGCUGCGAUGGAUCAUCUUUGUCUUGGGAGAUUCCUGGAGAUGGUGGGGAGCCCCUGGGCACGUGCAGCAUAUGUGGCGUGGGCUUCUUCAGGUGCUGGUGGAUCCCUCAGGAUGUUCAUUGUGGAACCAGCACAGAUUUUCAUACGAAAGUUAUUUCUUUUUAACCUCAAAAAGUGACAGAAUGGAGUGUAUCAUGAAAAAGUCUGACAUCAAAACCUCAAAAUGUGAUAUUGAUUGGGUGAGAUAGAAUUCCAUGGAAUUUCAUUGCCAAACCAGUGAAGUGCUAAUUUUGACAUUUGUACCAGCUAACGUAGCUGUGAAGAAACACACCAAUACACUUCUAAGGACAGCAUAGACCAAGAUCUAGGUUUCAUAUGGAUGAAUUUAUUCUUCCCUUUGAGGCAAGACAAGAAGGAAAGAAAGUAUUGGGAAUAAUGCUGCCCUCCCAUCCUCAAGGGCCAGUGGGAACUCUAAUAUUGAUUGGUUUUCACAGAAUUCCAUGGACUUUAACUGCUGAACCAAUGAUGCACUGAUUUUGUCACUUGUACCAGCUAACGCAUCUGGGAGGCAACAAAACAAUACUCUCCUGAGGUAACAUCGAAUUUUUAGUAAAUUCAUUUUUGUGUGUUGUUUUUAUUAUUUUUUUAAGUAAUUGAGAAUUUCAUUAGGUGUGCAAGGAGUCACUUAAUACAAAUAGUAUUAGGCAUUCAAUACUCUCAUGAGAUAUCUGAGCCUUCAGUUUCUUUUAUUUUAACAUUUUACAUUUUUCUCAACUUUAACAUCAGAAACAUCCUAUAAGUGUAAUAAAAUUCUUAUACUUUACAUAUAGUUACAUAGUAAAUCCUCCUGUCUUAUUUAAGUUUGAAAAAUGAACAUGUAUACUUCUCAUUCCCAUGUAUAUAAUCUCUUCCCACAGAAUGAGGUGGACCAAGAAACUGGGCUUCAUACGGAUGAAUUUAUUUUUUUCCCUGUGUGGAGACAUAAAGGAAAAGUAUAGUGAAUAAUUCCGCCUCCCACCCACAAGUCCCCAUGGGAAUUCUCACAUGUUAAAAAGCAUUUUGUCCUGAAAAUAACAACAAUUUUUCUUAGGGAAUCAGGACACUCCAAUGACAGUGAGACUCUGGCUAUGCCAGGCAGCCAUGGGCUGGUCAUUGUGCUGCUGGUCUCCAUGAUUGAAUAGUGUGGGUCAUUGGUGACAGAUAGCUAUGUGCUCAGUGUCUGCCACAUAUCUCAGGUUCAAAGUCCCUUUUAUAAAUGUGCCUGGAUGGAUGACGACUUAAAAAUGAAUCUCGUUGGAAUCUGAGCAAAACGAGUGAGCAAACCACUUCUGUGCAGUUCUGUGAACUGAGGUCAAGCACAGGGACCAUGCCAGGCAAACACGUGCAGAGAGUUCAGUUUGGUCAGCAACUGGUACCAAAAUGGCCUGUGGUAUUGGAAAACAAACCCACUCACAUAGCUUACAGCACAUGAAUUGUACAGAGGUCUGUAUGUGUUUGUAUAUAUUUAUAUAUGUUUGUGUACAUAUAUCUUUGGGGAUUAUAUGGCAUUUCUUUCAGUGUUUGGCUGGCAGUGUCCAUACUCUCAUAGUAAACAGAAUUACACAAGAGUAGAGGGAACAGUAGGAAAUGGUUUUGCCUACCCUAGAGUCUUUUAUACAUGUUUUUAGGUGCUAUAAUCUUGUGUGUGAGGUCAGUCUCUCAGGUUCAUUAGAUGGACAGUGUAAAAGGUAUUAUGAGGUUUUACAUAUUAUUUAUCUAUUAAGUAAAAGAAAUAUAUGGAAAUUGAAGAGUAGCUUUUAUCUAUUAAAGAAAAGAAUGUAUGGAAAUUGAAGGGUACUUUCUAUUUGUGGAAAGUCUUAACAUUUUAAUUUCCUUAUUGAUCUUGUCACAGAAGUUGGAAUUUAAGUUUUGCCUGUCACUCAAAGAGAAGCUUUUUAGACAUUUGAUUAAGGGAUUCUAGUAGAUGCUAUAGUAAACAUUUCUAAUUGUAAAAUGAUUAAAUUUGCAAUUCAUAGAGUUUUAUGUGGAUUUCAUUGCCUGAUAUUCAUUAUUUUUAUUAGUGGGUUUCAUAGAUGUUUAAAGGGAGAUCCUAGUUUUAUUGUGUGAUACUAAGGGAGGCCUUUUGGUCUUAGAAAACUGACUUUCAGUACUACCCAUUUCCAGGGAGUGAGCAUAAUUUUUAUUCUCAUACCACAUGGGCAAGUGAAUAUCUAUGGUUUAUUUCUUAUAACUCGUCAUUAGUAAUUAUGAAAGUAAGAAAGUUGACAAAUGAAACUCUUUUAAUUAUGAGGGUUUCAUUUGUCGACUUCCUACUUCCUCAGUGUGCUUUGUGUAUUGGAGGUAAUACUGGAAUUGCAUGGAAUUCCUACUGCUGCUCCAGUAACCUGCUGAUUUUGUCACGUGUACCAGAUUCGUUGUCUGGCAAUGAGAACAAUACACUUCAGAGGUAAUAUUGCAAUUUUUAGUAAGUGCAUUUUUCCUGGGUUCGUUCUAUUAUUUUAUUUUAGCAAGUAAGAUUAUAAUUGGUUUUUCAAGCAGUCUGUUAAUCCAAAUGGUGUGAGGCCCUAAUAAUCUGGUUAGUCAUCUGAAGUUUCUGUGUUCUUUGUACAGUAUUUUUAUACUUCCUCUGUUUUCAAAUAACAUUAGGAUACCCUACUAGCAAAAUAAUUUAGUAUAUUUUAUAUACUUGUGCAUAGUAAGCCUGUUGUAUAUGUACACUAUUUGCAUGGUUGGCAAAUUACAUUUGCACUUUUUAUUUUUCUAUAAUUUUUUCCUAUUUUCAAAGGUUAAUGUGGACCAAAAACUAGAUUUCAUAUAAAAGAGUUUAUUCCUUCUACUUGAGGUGUGACAUGAAGGAAAGUAAUGGAAAUAAUUCUGCCCUCCCAUUCUCAAGGGCCAGGGGGAAUUCAAAUAUUGAACGGAAGUGAUUUUGGAAUUGCAUGGAAUUCUCACUGCCAUCCCAAAGAAAUGCUGAUCUUGUCACUCUUACCUGUUUCAUUCCCUGGGGGCAGAACAAAAGGACGCACUCCAAAGAUCGGCAUGAACCAAGAACUGGGUUUCAUAUAAAAUAUUUUAUUCUGUCCUCUUGAGAUGUGACAUGAGAAAAGUAUUGAGAAUACUUCUAUCACCUCAUCUUCAAGAAUCCGUAGGAAUUCUCCCAUGGUGGACUUUACGGUUAACCUGAACAGGUCUUGGAAAAAGGACUUUAAACAUUCUCCUGUUCUGUGGAAUAAGUAUACUUUUUUCUGGACAUACACCUUGUCAGUGAGUAUGUAUCAUAAUUCCUCAUAACUUCUUAUCAGGAAACAUUCGAUGUAGAAGAUUUCUUUCUCAACUUCUCUAAUUGCCCCUGUGGUUUGCAGGUUCCAUGUGAUACUAGAGUUGCAUAGAUUUUUAACCUUUACGCCAAUGAAGAUCUGAGGCAAACAUUGCCCCUUUUUUAGAAGUUUGCAUUUGUCACUGAUAACUGUAAUAAUUGAUCUUGUUGAAAAGCCUGGGAAAUGAAGAUCUGAUAUGUCACUUUUACCGGCUUCCUCAACUGAAAAAGAAUACAAUGAAACACGCUGAGAAUUUUUGUGCUUUCUCAGUCUUGCUGAUGAUCUUUCUAUGGGCCUGAAGCGUGGAGAGUGCCAGAGAGGCUGAUCCUCAGCAGUGUGGCAGAGGAAAGUUGGGUGCGACUAAGGGGUAUGCGGUGCCCACAUGCCACUGGGUCCUCAGCAGUACCACCUGGUGAGCGUCACUCUUGAGAGCUGAGAGUAGGUGGGAAGCAGCUCAUGGUGAGAGGGUUCAGAGGCCGCCUUUCCCUCUCUGCGCACUGCCCAGUUCUUCUAGUCACAUGUCCCGGGACAGUACCAUACCUGUGUGUGUCCUGCCUGCAUUGCUGUGACCACUUUUAGUGGAAUCAGGUGCAGUGCAGCUCUGCAGCUUCUGCAAAUUGCCACGCUCCCACUCUCAAGCAGGUUGAGUGCUACGAGUGAUUUUUAGACCAUUUGUUUAUUCCCUUAUCAUGGCUUUUUGUGACUUCUUCCUCCCCAGUCCGUUGGGUCACCUUUAAAGGUAAAGUAAUCCUGAGGUGGUUGAAUUUACGGAAAUGCUAUGCAUUAUUGUGAAUGGGAUGUUCACCGGGCCAACAUCUUCUUGGAACUUUGAGCAAACUGAUAGUCUGGUUGCACAUUUGAUUUGUCUGGCAGUAAAUGUUGGACAGUAUUUGGACUGAUGGAAGCUAGAGACAAACACAUUGACUAUUGUUGAAUAACACUGGAAACAUCUUAGGAGAGCAGUACAUUAGCUAAUUUAAUAGGUACAUAAACUGAAUCCCACUGUCUUGUGCUUGACGGACCAGCAGACACAUAUGCUUGUAUCGUUCUCAUGUUUCUACAUGUUUACCCUAUUCCCACAGGUCAACAAAGACAAGGCACCUAGCCCCACAUGAAACUUUAUUCCUUUCCCUUUUGAGAUGUGACAUGAAAGAAAAUAACAGAAAUGAUUUUUCCAUCCCAUCCUCAGGGACCAGUGGGAAUGAAUUUUACCAUCCCACCCUCAAGGGCCAGGUCAGGUCGCUAAGCAUUUUGUCACUAAAAUAUUGCCCUUUUUUAGGGAUUAUGUAAUACUCUAUAAGGCACUGUCUGUGCUGGGCAGCAUGGAGCCUGGGUCAUUGCUGUGUUGGGGGCUUGGUCUCCAUGACUUAAUAGGGUGUAUCAGUGUGUCCCAGAGAAGUGUACUCCAGAGUGCUCAUUUUCUUUCAUGUUUCUGAAGCAAACAGUGCCCCCUUUUUUAGAAGUUUGCAUGUGUCACUGAUAACUUUAAUAAUUGAUCUUGUUGAAAAACCUGGGAAAACAGUGAGUUAAAUAAUAACUUCUCUGAACAUGAGGUCCAGCCCAAUUACCUGCCCUAAGCAAACUAUAUGGAAGGAGAGUUCAGUUUGUUCAGCUAUGUGGUCCCAGCAAGGACUGUGGUACUGGAAAACUAACCAGCUUACAUGCACUAGAGAAGUAGAAUUGGACAGUGAUCUGUAGGUACCCAGUUUGGAGAUGAAAUUGCAACUCUGAGUUCUUGAUUGGCAACAUAAAUACGUUGAUAGUAAACAGACCCUGGGGAAUCAGCACUUGAGUUGUGAAAAGCGGGAAAUAGCUAUGCCUACACUAGAGCCAUUCACACUUUUGCUGGAGCUGCAAUAAUCUUCUAAGUCAUGCUUGCUCUCGUGAGGGCAAUGAGAUGGUCACAAUCCAAGGAGAGUUGGGGUUUUCACUUUUCAUUUCUCUAUUAAGUGAAAAAAGUAUAUGAAAAUUGAAAAAUAGAUAUUACUUAUGUAAUCUUCACAGUAUAAUUUGCUUGCCAAGCAGUCACUGGGAUUUAAUCAGUUUCUUUGUCUUUCGUUUUUCUCAUAAGCUGAGAGAGUAAUUUUGUGUGCACAGAAGUACUGUCUUCAGCUACAUGCUGCAUUAAACAUUCCUAGAUGUGAAAUGAUUAAAUUUCCAAGUUUUUAAAAUGUGGAUUUUUCUGGCCACUUUUAUAUCUCUUCAAUGGGUUUCUAAUGGAUUUAAGGAGAGAGCCUAGUCAUGAUGAAUGGUGUUGUGUUGGGUAUGCUGAGGAAACUUUGAGACCAAUGUUUCAGAAAAAAUUAUUUCUAUACUGUCAUGUUUCAAGUACCGAGUAUUGUUCUUGUCAUACAGAUGGUCCAGUGAACAUCUCUGGUGAAUUCCUUACAACCAACCUCUUGUUACUAAAUAUUCCAUUAGGAAUGUUUUGUUUCUCAACUCCCUGAUUUCCCCUUUAUAGAUUGGAAGUGAUAUUGGUGGAAGACAACAUUUUGCCGCUUGGAAUUCUCACCUCCACACCAAAGAAGUACUGUUUUUGUCAUUUGCACCAGCUUCUUUCUCCAGGAAAGAUCAAAACGAUGCACUGCAAGGUUAACAUCCAAUUUUUAAUACAUGUAAUUCCCUGGAUUAUUUUUGUUGUGUUAUUAAAUAACUUAGAAUUUUUUUUACAAAGUCUGUUGAACCAAACACUGUAAGGCAUUAAUAACCUGGUGAGUUAUUUGAGGCCUUUUUUCCUCUCCUAGAAUUUUUGCACAAUUUAUAUUUUGAAUAAUAUCAGAGACAUCCUAGUAGAGUAAUGAAUUAGUACAUUUUAUAUGCAGAUACAUAGUGAAGCCUCCUUUCUUAUGCAUAUUUGACAAAUGGACAUGUAUAUUUCUCAUCUUCCCAUAUUUUUACUCCAUUUCCACAGGUCAUGUAGACCAAAAUGUGAAUGUCAUAUGAAAGAGUUUAAACAUUGCCCUUGAAAUAUGACAGAAAGUAUCAGAAAUAAUUAUACCAUUCCAUGCUCACAGGCCAGUGGGAAUUCUCACAGUAAGCAUUUUGUCCAGAGAAUAUUCUUCUUAGGGAACUAUAACAUUCCAAUGAUAAUGGUAGUCAGCCAUGUGGCUGGAUCAUCGUUCCUGUAUCCUGGUCUCUAUGACUUAGUGUGGUGAUGGUGUCAUUGUGUCCAAGUGUGACAGAAUUGUUAGUGUGUAGUGUCUGUCUCCUAUCUCAGGCUCACAGUCCCUUUUAUAAACAUGCCUGGAUUGAUGAUGGCUUCAGUAUCUUUUGGAAAUCUGGACUGAGCAAUAGAAUUGCUUCUCUCAAAUUGAUUUCAAGUCAUAUAAAAGGCCAUGUUACACAUAUAUUGUUAAUCUGAGGGAGGCUGUGAUCAUUUAAGUUGUAUUUUAUAAACACUAGGACCACCAGUAAGAAAACAAUUCAAAAAAUAUUAAAAGAACAACCAAAGAAUUAAAAUAGAAUAACCGAAAAGAUCUGUUUAACACAAAAGAAGGCAGUUAAAGAUGAACAGAGGAACCAAUAAGACAUAUAGAAAACAGAUAGGAAAAUGACAGACAUAAACCCAGCCAUAUGACAAUUAUAUUAAAUUUUUAAGAGAUUAGGAAAUUCCGUUGUUUUUUAAACAUGAGCAACUAUACGCUGUCUACAGAAGAGACACUUUAGAACAAAAGAUACAAAUAGUUGGAAAGUAAAAAGAUGGAAAAAGCUAUAUCCAGCGAAUCCAGAAGAGAGCAGAAGUGGCUAUUCUGACAUCAGAAAAAAGAGACUUUAAGAUAAAGUAUUGCUAGAGAGGAAGAAGGAUAGUAUUUAAUGAUAGAAGGGUUAAUAUGGAAUAUGUAACAAUUACAAUCAUAUCAGCACUAACAACAGUGCCCAAAACUACAUACACUGAAAUUUAACAUGAUUGAGGGGAUCAAUAGGCAAUUCAACAAUAAAAGCUUUUGUUCAUACCCUCUUCUUAAUCAGUGAUAAGUCAAUUAGAUAGAGCAUCAUUGAGGUUACAACAUACUUCAGCAAUGUUGUCAACCAAUUUGACCUGAGAUAGAUAGAUAGACAGUUAGACAGACAGACAGACAGACAGAGAAAACUUCACCCAACAACAGAAAUACAAAUUAUUUUCAAGCAUACCUGGAACAUUCUCCAGGAUAGAGUAUAUGUUAGGCUAUAAAACUGUACUCAAUAAAUUUAAGAUUGAAACCAUGUAGAGUAUGUUGUGUGACCAUAGAGGAAUUAGAAAUCAACACAGAAAUAAAUUUGGAGGUCACAAGAUAUUUGGAAAUUAACACACUUUACAGAGCCCAUUGGUCAAAAAUAUAUAUAUUAAACUAGAAAGGCCGGGGGUGGUUGCUUACACCUGUAAUUCCAGCACUUUGGGAGGCGUAGGUGGGCACAUCACUUGAGGCCAGGAGUUCAAGACCAACCUGGGCAACAUGGCAAAACCCCAUCUCUACAAAAAAAUACAAAAAAUGAGUUGAGCAUGGUGGUGCAUGCCUGUAGUCCCAGCUACUCAGGAGGCUGAGGUAGGGGAAUCACCUGAGCCCAGCAGGUAGAAGCUGCAUUGAACCAAGAUUGCACCACUGCAUACCAGCCUGGGCGACAAAGUGAGACCCUGUCU